This 501-nucleotide ribosomal RNA is filed under the name uncultured bacterium. Its description in RNAcentral is "partial 16S ribosomal RNA". It matches the Rfam family "Bacterial small subunit ribosomal RNA", at positions 29 to 523 of the family's 1533-position model. The record is from RNAcentral.
AUUGAACGCUGGCGGCAUGCCUUACACAUGCAAGUCGAACGGCAGCACGGGUGCUUGCACCUGGUGGCGAGUGGCGAACGGGUGAGUGAUACAUCGGAACGUACCUUAUCGUGGGGGAUAACGCAGCGAAAGCUGUGCUAAGACCGCAUACGCCCUGAGGGGGAAAGCGGGGGAUCGCAAGAGCUCGGGCGAUUAGAGCGGCCGAUGCCUGAUUAGCUAGUUGGUGGGGUAAAAGCCCACCAAGGCGACGAUCAGUAGCUGGUCUGAGAGGACGAUCAGCCACACUGGGGCUGAGACACGGCCCAGACUCCUACGGGAGGCAGCAGUGGGGAAUUUUGGACAAUGGGGGCAACCCUGAUCCAGCAAUGCCGCGUGAGUGAAGAAGGCCUUCGGGUUGUAAAGCUCUUUUGUCAGGGAAGAAACACCGGCUCUAACACAGUCCGGGAAUGACGGUACCUGAAGAAUAAGCACCGGCUAACUACGUGCCAGCCGCCGCCGUAA